This is a non-coding RNA of Schistosoma rodhaini, 45 nucleotides long. The record is from Rfam. Lineage: Eukaryota; Metazoa; Platyhelminthes; Trematoda; Strigeidida; Schistosomatidae.
AUCCAGUUGAUGAGUCCCAAAUAGGACGAAACGCGUGUUCUGGAU